RNAcentral lists this ribosomal RNA (465 nucleotides) under Vreelandella stevensii. RNAcentral describes it as "partial 16S ribosomal RNA". It matches the Rfam family "Bacterial small subunit ribosomal RNA", at positions 338 to 795 of the family's 1533-position model. The record is from RNAcentral. Lineage: Bacteria; Pseudomonadati; Pseudomonadota; Gammaproteobacteria; Oceanospirillales; Halomonadaceae.
CCUACGGGUGGCAGCAGUGGGGAAUAUUGGACAAUGGGCGAAAGCCUGAUCCAGCCAUGCCGCGUGUGUGAAGAAGGCCUUCGGGUUGUAAAGCACUUUCAGUGGGGAAGAAAGCCUUGGGGCUAAUACCCUCGAGGAAGGACAUCACCCACAGAAGAAGCACCGGCUAACUCCGUGCCAGCAGCCGCGGUAAUACGGAGGGUGCGAGCGUUAAUCGGAAUUACUGGGCGUAAAGCGCGCGUAGGCGGUCUGAUAAGCCGGUUGUGAAAGCCCCGGGCUCAACCUGGGAACGGCAUCCGGAAAUGUCAGACUAGAGUGCAGGAGAGGAAGGUAGAAUUCCCGGUGUAGCGGUGAAAUGCGUAGAGAUCGGGAGGAAUACCAGUGGCGAAGGCGGCCUUAUGGACUGACACUGACGCUGAGGUGCGAAAGCGUGGGUAGCAAACAGGAUUAGAUACCCUAGUAGUC